GAGUUUGAUCAUGGCUCAGAUUGAACGCUGGCGGCAGGCCUAACACAUGCAAGUCGAGCGGAUGACGGGAGCUUGCUCCUUGAUUCAGCGGCGGACGGGUGAGUAAUGCCUGGGAAUCUGCCUGGUAGUGGGGGACAACGUUUCGAAAGGAACGCUAAUACCGCAUACGUCCUACGGGAGAAAGCAGGGGACCUUCGGGCCUUGCGCUAUCAGAUGAGCCUAGGUCGGAUUAGCUAGUUGGUGGGGUAAUGGCUCACCAAGGCGACGAUCCGUAACUGGUCUGAGAGGAUGAUCAGUCACACUGGAACUGAGACACGGUCCAGACUCCUACGGGAGGCAGCAGUGGGGAAUAUUGGACAAUGGGCGAAAGCCUGAUCCAGCCAUGCCGCGUGUGUGAAGAAGGUCUUCGGAUUGUAAAGGCACGUUUAAGUUGGGAGAAGGGCAGUAAGUUAAUACCUUGCUGUUUUGACGUUA
RNAcentral lists this ribosomal RNA (474 nucleotides) under bacterium enrichment culture clone ALO1_GLFRUDD03F6S94. Its description in RNAcentral is "bacterial SSU rRNA". It matches the Rfam family "Bacterial small subunit ribosomal RNA", at positions 9 to 477 of the family's 1533-position model. The record is from RNAcentral.